UCGUUUUUGGGCAAUUUGACCGAUUUUGACCAUAAAACCUGCGAGUGGCAGUUAUUUAAAGGACGAUUGACACAAUUUAUUAAAAUAAAUAAGGUGAGCGAUGACCAUAGAAGUGGAAUUCUGAUAGCUCAUCUUACAGAUGAGUCAUACCGUUUGUUAAAAAAUCUCGCUUAUCCUUCGGAAGUAGAUUCACUUACUUAUGAUCAGCUGAUUUAAUACCUGGACGACCAUUUUAAACAGAAGAAGUGCACAUAUGCAGAUAAGGCACGUUUUUAUGGAGCGACAAGGAACGUAGGCGAAACUUUAGGAGACUGGGCGGCGCGAUUGAGAGGUCUAGCUAGCUACUGUGAGUUCGGAACCGCCUUAGAAACGAUUCUAGCAGAUCGUUUUGUCCUAGGCCUAGGUUCAGGCUCUGAACGUGACAAAUUGCUCGAGCAUGAUGCGUCGUCGAUUAAAAUUGGACAGGCCUUAGAAAUAGCGGAGAAAGCAGAAUCUGCUAGGGAAGCAAAGGCUGUGAUGGCCGGUACCAGCACCAUCAAGGAGGAGCCCCUGUAUCGAGCGAGCAGCGAGGGGCGGUACGCGGCAGGCGGCAGCGGCGGAGCGCGGCGCGGCGGCGCGGCGGCGGCGCGCGGGCUCUGGCGGCGGGCCGCGACAACCAGCGAGCGGCUUCCCGGUGCUCCGUAUGCGGCAUGAAGAGUCACGAGGGUGACCGGUGUCGUUACAAGACCUAUCGUUGUCAAAAUCAGGAUAGCCGGCGAUUAUUCAGUCACAUUAAACAAAGAUUUAAUAAUCGACAGAUAUCCUUUACCUCGAAUCGAAGAGGUUUUUGCCAAGAUAGGAGGGGGGGAAUGUUAUAGUAAAAUUGAUUUAAAAAAUGCGUAUAAUCAAUUUUUGUUAUGCGAUUCGUCACAAGAACUUACAACUAUAAAUACGUCCAAGGGUCUUUUUAAAUACACUCGAUUAGUCUAUGGCUUAGCACCCGCACCAGCUAUUUUUCAGAAAUCGAUGGAAACACUUCUUUCCGGAAUCGAAGGUGUAAGUUGUUGGCUUGACGAUAUAUGCAUAACCGGUCCUAAUAAAACAAUGCAUCUCAAUAGGUUACGCGAAGUUCUAACUAGGUUAAAUGACGCGGGUUAGGUUACAACAGAAAAAAUGAGAAUUUUUCAAACAGAGUGUUACGUAUUUAGGGUACGUGAUAAAUAAGGAGGGACUGCAUACGUGCCCUGAUAAGGUUAGGGCUAUUAUUAACGCGCCAGAACCAAAAAACAUAACCGAACUUCAAAGUUUUAUAGGUGUACUGAACUACUACAGGAAUUUCAUUCCUAACGCUUCUAGCAUUAUAAGUCCCCUACACGAGUUGACGCGAGCGGGCGUGGCGUGGUAGUGGGGCGAGCCACAGCGCAGCGCCAUGCAGCGGGUCAAGCAGGAGUUGGCCUCCGAGCGGACGCUAGCGCACUUUGAGCCCUCGGCACAGCUGACGCUGGCAUGUGACGCUGGACCCGCGGGUCUUGGAGCUGUACUUUCCUUGAAGGACCAAACGGGCUUCGAGCGACCUUUGGCUUUUGCGUCAAGGUCGCUGACCGCAAGUGAACGUAACUACAGUCAGAUACAAAAGGAAGCUACGAGCUUGAUAUUUGGUGUGAAAAAGUUUCAUCAAUAUCUUUACGGCCGUAGCGAACCGUUUAUCCUUAAGACGGAUCACCGACCAUUGGUUUCCAUUUUUAAUAACAAUACAGGUAUAUCUGUGACCACGGCGCUUCGUCUUCAAAGGUAUGCAAUCAUAUUAUCGGCAUAUAAUUAUAUUGUGCAGUAUACGACUGGUAAAAGUAAUGUAGUAGCAGAUUAUUUCUCUCGAGCUCCGUUAGCGGAGACGGUAACCGCUACGGAUAAGGAAUUCGAUAAAUUGAGUUCAUUCAAGUUCUUAGAUUCGGUUUUAUCAGCGGUCACGGCAAGUGAUAUCAAGCAGGCGACAGAAACAGACACUGUUUUAAAAACGGUGAUAAAUUAUGUUUAUAAAGGUUGGCCACGUAAGGUAAGUUGUGAAACAAUAAAACCUUAUUUUCAAUGUAAAUCAGACUUGCAGAUUGAAAAUGGGACCUUAUUGCGCGGGCAUAGGGUCGUAAUUCCUAGUACGCUAAGACAAAAGAUGUUACUCCAAUUGCAUAGUUCACAUUAAGGCAUAAUAAAAAUGAAAUCCAAUGCACGUGCUCGUAUGUGGUGACCAGGAAUCGAUGCCGAUAUCGAGCGUUGGGCCGCUGCCUGCGUCACAUGCACCGCGCUGAGGUCAGCGCCGCCGAGAGAGGCACCGGCGCCCUGGCCUAGGCCGCCCGGCCCUUACCAUCGUAUUCACAUAGACUACAUGUCAAUAGGGCAAAGGGUAUACCUCGUAGUCGUGGACGCAUACAGUAAAUGGCUGGAAUGUAUCUAUAUGAAUAAUGGUACGACAACGCGAGAUUUAGUUUCCAAACUCAAGCGUUUAUUUGCUACUUUUGGGUUACCACAUGCAAUAGUUUCUGAUAAUGAUGCUAACAUAAAUUGUAAAGAAUUUAUAAUAUUUUGUUCCAGUAACAACAUUUAGUAUAUUACGUCACCUGUUUAUCACCCGAUUAGUAAUGGAAUGGCCGAAUGUUCAGUGAAAAUUUGCAAAAAAAAUGCUAAAAUGUAUUUUAAGAGAAAAUUUGAAAUUAGAAUUAGUACACGAAAAGUUAUUUAUUUGAGUAUAGAAACACUGUUCACUGCACCACGGGCGAAACACCGGCCAAGCUUAUGUUCGGGAGGAAUUUAAGAACGAGACUUGAUUUAAUUUUGCCACCCGUAAAACAAACUUGUUCUGAGCCUCCGCCUC
Cydia strobilella is the source of this 2845-nucleotide long non-coding RNA. RefSeq lists it as uncharacterized. The transcript is spliced from 2 exons. The record is from RefSeq and is a predicted model, not a curated record. NCBI's taxonomy places the organism in Eukaryota, Metazoa, Arthropoda, Insecta, Lepidoptera, Tortricidae.